CCUCUCUCUCUCUCUCUCUCUCUCUCUCUCUCUCUCCCCCCCUCCCUCUCUCUAAUAACUCCUGUCAAGCAAUGGCUUCCCAGAUCUAAUUGUCUCAGAUUCUCUGUUUUUCACAUUUGCGAGUCUUCGACACCGCUGCUAUACUGUGUUGUUUUUGGGGCCUCGCCGGAGUUUAAGCAAAGAAAGAAGAGGGAGCGUAGAUGUUGAGAAUGGAGAAGUCGUUUCCGGAGGAGGUGCUAGAGCACGUGUUCUCGUUUGUACAGUCGGCCAAGGAUAGGAAUUCGGUGUGUUUGGUCUGCAAGUCGUGGUACGAGAUAGAGAGAUGGUGUAGGAAGAGGGUUUUCGUCGGAAACUGCUACUCGGUGAGCCCUGGAAUUGUAAUCAGAAGAUUCCCGGACGUCAGAUCUAUCGAGCUUAAGGGGAAGCCGCACUUUGCGGACUUCAAUCUGGUCCCGGACGGCUGGGGGGCCUACGUUUACCCCUGGAUUGCCGCUAUGGGCUCCGCCUACCCCUUCCUCGAGGAGAUCAGGCUCAAGCGGAUGGUGGUCACGGAUGAAGCCCUUGAACUCAUUGCCAAGUCAUUUAAGAAUUUCAAAGUUCUUGUCCUUACCUCUUGUGAGGGAUUCUCCACUGAUGGUCUCGCGGCCAUUGCUGCCAAUUGCAGGAAUUUGAGAGAGUUGGACUUGCGAGAGAGUGAGGUGGAUGAUCUUAGUGGCCAUUGGCUGAGCCAUUUUCCUGAUACAUUCACGUCACUGGUGUCUCUUAACAUUUCGUGUUUAGACUCUGAGGUAAACUUCUCAGCCUUAGAGCGACUGGUUGGUCGGUGCCCCAACUUGAAGACCCUCAGGCUCAACCGUCUGGUGCCACUUGAGAGGCUCUCCAGCUUGCUUACCCGGGCUCCUCAGCUAGUUGAGUUUGGCACAGGUGCAUGCUCAGCCGAGGUGCGGUCUGAUUUGUUCUCUGAUCUAGCAGUUAGUUUAUCUAGCUGCAAGGAACUAAAGAGCCUUUCUGGGUUUUGGGAUGUUCUCCCUACUUACCUGCCAGCUUUUUAUCCUGUUUGCUGUGGUCUAACAUCGUUGAAUUUGAGCUACGCUAUAAUUCAAAGUCCCGAUCUUAUCAAGCUCGUUAGCCAAUGUCCGAGUUUGCAGCGCCUAUUGGUACUUGACUACAUUGAAGACGCUGGACUUGAAGCUGUUGCAGCGUGUUGCAAGGACCUGCGUGAACUGCGGGUGUUCCCUUCAGACCCAUUUGGUGAUGUCCAAAUCCCAAACGUACCCUUGACAGAACAGGGCCUUGUAUCCAUUUCCUACGGCUGCUCCAAGCUCGAGUCAGUGCUCUACUUCUGCCGUCAAAUGACUAACAGUGCAUUGGUUACCAUUGCCAGAAACCGUCCAAACAUGACAUGUUUUCGUCUUUGUAUUCUUGUACCACAUACACCGGAUUACGUAACGCUUGAGCCGCUUGAUGUGGGUUUUGGAGCUAUUGUUGAGAACUGCAAGGAUCUCCGUCGCCUUUCCCUCUCGGGUCUUCUUACUGAUCGGAUGUUUGAGUAUAUUGGGACAUAUGGUAAAAAGCUCGAAAUGCUGUCUUUGGCUUUUGCAGGAGAUAGUGAUUUGGGACUCCAUCAUGUGUUAUCUGGGUGUGAAAGCCUCCGGAAACUGGAAAUACGGGACUGUCCUUUUGGUGACAAGGCUCUAUUGGCCAAUGCUGGAAAGCUGGAGACAAUGCGAUCCCUUUGGAUGUCGUCUUGCUCAGUAAGUUUUGGAGCAUGCAAGUUACUAGGUCAAAAGAUGCCCAGGCUUAAUGUUGAAGUUAUUGAUGAGAGGGGACCUCCAGAUUCCAGACCCGAGAGCUGCCCUGUAGAGAAGCUUUAUAUUUAUAGGACUGUUGCUGGGCCGAGGUUAGAUAGGCCCGGUUUCAUUUGGACGAUGGAUGAAGAUUCUGCAUUGAGUCUUUCUUGACAGAUCUCUUAAUGGAUGAAGCAUUCUUGCAUCUUUCCCCUCGGGAAUGGAAAGUGGAUAUGGCAGGUACACCGUGAUUCUGAAUGUUGUCCGAUGCUUAAACAGCUACCCAUGUUAUUGGACUUGUUUUUAGAAUCAAGAGGUGUAACAGAGAAUUAGGAAGCAAGACAGAGUGCUCUGUUUCAGCAAUCGUUAUAUGGAGAGAGAUUAGGAAAAUACUAACAAGGCUUACUCUGGUUUUGGUGUUUGCAUGAACCUAUCAAUCACUGUGACUCUCUCUCUCUCUCUCUCUCUGUGUAAGCUGAUGAGCCACCAAACCCAACUACUUUCAGACUCUUUGAAUAAAGCCAGAUCAAUAUCAGCCAUGGCUUUUAUAUAAAGCAAGCAUGAUCAAGCCUAUAAAUUCCAAGAAUUGCAGUCGUCAAAACAGAGAAGAAGAAAGCAACAUGUACAAGAAAGACAGACAGACAGACAAGAACGUAUCACAUACACUCCCAGCCCCACCACCCAGAGAAGAAUACGUGAUAGAAAGUAGAGAGAGAAGAAAGAAAAAGAUUUUGUGCCCAUGAAUACAACUGGGGAGGGGGAGCAAUCAUAUUCCAAAACAUUUUUAUUGGUAGAUAAAUGGCACACGUUUGGUGUUAUAUUAUGUGAUGACACCAAUUGUGAUGAUUUCAGCUAUUUUUGUUUCUAUCCCUCACAACAAAAGGUGAUGGAAAGCAAGCAGUGAAUUCUGUCUCUCCUUUUAUUGGCAAUACUUGUUUAAAUCUAUUACUUAGAGUCAAGUCUUUAUGAUAGUAAUUGUGUAUUGACUACUUGUGGCUACUUCUAAAUGGCAUAGUUGACUGGGAAAGUCUUGGAUUUCCCCAUGUUAUGGGGUAAGCUAGUUGUCUUGCUCUUGCCUUGCAAAUUUUAACAAGUCAGUCCUCCAUCAAUUAGGAGAGCAUAGCUGUUCUACAGAUCUCAACGGUUUUUGUUCCACCCAUCCGAAAUGCUUAGAUGUAUGCACACACAACCUCUAAAGACGACAAAAAUGGACGGAGUAGUGAAAAAUGUGAAGGUGGUUAAUGUGGAGAGUUCAAGUCCGCAAGACUCCCACAGUGUGCGAGGGAUCGGGAGAAGAUGAGAAGCAUGCAGUCUUAGCCUAUUCUCCAUCACAAGGAUGAUUUUUUUUUUCCAAAAUUCGAGCAGGUGACCCUUAAGUUUCAGUUAAGCAUUUAUUUACCAUCAAGUUUUUCCAUAAUUGACCAU
Tripterygium wilfordii is the source of this 3212-nucleotide RNA transcript. It is a transcript of the gene named protein TRANSPORT INHIBITOR RESPONSE 1-like, with no coding region annotated. The transcript is spliced from 4 exons. The record is from RefSeq and is a predicted model, not a curated record. Lineage: Eukaryota; Viridiplantae; Streptophyta; Magnoliopsida; Celastrales; Celastraceae.